AUAGGUUUUAUCACAUUAACGAUCCUACUAUAUAAAAGCAGCUAAAUUGGAGCUCUCUAAGCACUACCACAUAGGCACAAAUAUUCCUAGCCAAUGAAAGUGCCAUGUCAUCCCAGACUGGGCUUGGAAAAAAAAAAUUAAGUUAGUUGCCCAGUCCAUUUAAACCAUUUCCCAGCCCAAUAUGUUAAUAUGAUAAGAGACGGUUCAGGUUAUAUCCCUUUAUCGAUCCCGUGUCUCUGAAAAUCACUCAUCCUCCCUAACCCUAAGCGCCGUCUCAGACCCUUUGUCGAUUCUCUUCCUCUCCCCCACCUUCCUAAACGCUCCCAGUUAAUCUCCUUUAUCAAGCGUACAAAGAAUCUUCGUAACUGUCUUCAGAUGCUGCUGUUGCGCAAUGCCUUCGACGCUCUUCGCCUCGGUCGAUCGUCGCAGUUCGUUAUCGCUCGGCUUCUCCGUUUUUGGGACUCGGAAAGUAUGAAGAACAUGGUGAAUUCAUAGAAUCACUCUACUUAUCCUUGAUGAGAAGGUAUUGUAACAAGAAGCAUCUUAUUUUAUUUUUUAUCUUAAUUUUGUUUUCGAAUAGCCCCAAUGAUUUAAAUCGUCUAACUGUAUCUGUUUGCCAUGCUGCAUAAAGUAAGAUAUGUAGCUUGAAAUUUGAGGGAAUGUUUUAGUAUUACAGGACCUCCUAUAGUCUCAAAGAGACUGAUGUGGCUGUCUUGGAAUCUUGACCCAUAAGGUGAUGAUUACUCUUUACGCACAGAUGGUGAUACCAUGCAUAGUUUGAUCAAACUCCAUUUAGGUUUUCUUUUGGGAAACAAAUGAAGGUAAAAAGCCAAGAGCAGAAACUAGCUGUGCCGGAACCAGCAUUGAUCAAGGACCUUGAUUCAAGGAAGAGAGAAUAUCCUUUUUGAGCAAUGGCUCGAUUGAUCAAGGAGAAACAGUGUUUUUCUAAAGCAAUGGGUACUGAAAACCUCCCCUUAAGUUGCAUUAAAGAAGCCAUCAUCAUUGAUGAAAGGAAAGAGCCUGCUAUAUUGAUGACGAUUGUGAUCACAGAGAAAGACACAAAGAAAUUUGAGCUUGGAUUCAGCAGGUGGUGGUAGCCAACAAGAUGAUACAAUCGUUGAGAGAUGUAACCCAUUGAGAGGAGAGAUAUAAGAAGCUCAUGAUUUGGUUUAAAAGAUGAGAUAUAAGAAGCUCGUGAUUUGGUUUAACAGAUGACAUAUAUAAGAGUUGAGGCUAAGUAGAAAUGUUAACCUUUGUGUUACGGUCAUUUGUUUGUCUUUUUCUGUCUCUGCAAUACAAACAGCUUUUACUCUGUUGUUUUUCCUUUUGGUUUCAGUUUGAAGCAAAAGCUAUGAAUCUGUCAUUUGUGUCAUCUGAGAUUAGACUUUUUGUUUGUAAUUGAUUAUUGUUUCUUUGGCAGCAAACAAAGCCUUGGAUUUUAAA
This is a long non-coding RNA of Brassica napus (rape), 1443 nucleotides long. RefSeq lists it as uncharacterized. Lineage: Eukaryota; Viridiplantae; Streptophyta; Magnoliopsida; Brassicales; Brassicaceae. The record is from RefSeq and is a predicted model, not a curated record. The transcript is spliced from 4 exons.